This is a long non-coding RNA of Equus caballus (horse), 1710 nucleotides long. The record is from Ensembl. NCBI's taxonomy places the organism in Eukaryota, Metazoa, Chordata, Mammalia, Perissodactyla, Equidae.
AGGACAGGCAACAGGUACAUGAAGAGACAGCAGAAGCAAUUUUGUGCCACCCAAGGAUGAUCUCAAUCCUGGUUAACCAAGAAAGUACCCACCAGCUCUGCUCAGAACAAUUCUGCUGCUGCCGGAUCUAUCAAGUUUUACUUGUUAUCUCUUGGCAAGAAAUACCAAUGUCAAAUAGAUGAGCCGACUCUGACAGCCAGUGACAUCCCAGGAGCUAGAGAGUCCACCCAUACAGCAAACAGAUGGGCCAUAUGAGGACUGAGAGCUCAUGAGAUUGCUUGGAGCUGAGCAAGUGGGGAUUGCUGCAGGGAGGGCCAGGGCAAGAAAUGCCUACUGUGCCUAGCUGAUAAGUCUAAAAGGACGUAGGCCCAGUGGAGGCCAAAGCUGAGCCAUAUUCGGGUUUAUAGAGCAUUUGUGGAAAUUAGAGCUUAAUAAUAUAUAUUAAGGACUGUUGUGCAACAACCACAAUGAAAUAUUCAUCCCACUCAUAAGAUUCAGAGGAAUAAAAUAAACGUCCCCCAGGGACAACCUGCAAUGUUGGAGAAAUGUUAAUGGCGCCUUCCGAUCUCAGAAAGUACUCUGCAGUCUUAAAAUAGAACAACCUAAAGGUGACAGUGAUCUUCUGAGAAGGGGCAAAAGGAGGGGACACGGCAUAGGGAUUCCGAAUACCUGAUAACAGAGCCCCAGCCGUCCCUGGGAGAAGAGCCAACCACCAAGGUCAGGCCAUGGAUCUCAAAACAGCCCUGAGGAUAGCUGUGCCUCCGAGAUCAGGCUAAACUGCCCUGGGGUGACUCAGCUGAAGCUUGGAGACCUUAUGCAACUUGACCAAGUUCCCAUGGUGGCUAAAAUUAUGUAGUGGAUGCUGUGCUACGCUGACCAGAUGCCACUUUCAGGAUUGAGGGACACAGUCCCCCAGAUGCUGGGGAUGCUCUCAGCUGUUAGCCUCGAGACAUUUCCCUUGGCUGAAGACAGCCUCCUCUCCCAAGGUCUUGACAGCACUCCCUAAUAAACUUCCUGCGUGAUAGAAACAGAGAGGGAGAGAGAGAGAGAGAAAAAGAAAACAGGAAAACAGUACCCUUUCCUGGAUUCUUUACUUCCACCCGCCAGAAAAAUUGUCGAAACAACUAUAUAAAUAUAUGAGUGGGAUUUGGAAGGCGCCCCUUGAAGUUGUGCAGUGUACAACCUGCACAAAGAAGCAGUGGCUCGGUGUCAACCCCAUCUCACUCCUCUGCUUUUGGGGGUCCCCAGCACCAUUCAGCUGGAUUGAUUGACGAGUGUCCACUUGACCUUAACCAGUGCCUGAGCCAGCCUUCACAGGGAGGGAAGCAUGUCAGUUGCCUCAGCCACAUCACACAGUAGAACUUAGAAGUCAUUCCUUGUGUCCACCAGAUCUGGAAGGUGAGAAGCUAGGAGGGAGCUCUGAGGGCUCCCUAGAGACUUUCCCUCCUCAGCUUUGUGGCCUCGAUUUUACUCCUGGCCCUAACACCUUCCCAGAUCGUGCUCAGCUCUUUGGGCAUGAUUCUGUUUCCCCAGCCUCUCUUGGCCCCAAGUCACUCUCUCUCACUUUGGUCUUAAGCUGCUGUAUUUCCCAGAAUGCAUUUUGCCCAUGUCAAAUGUGAAAUAAAGUUCCUGGAAUAUCUGGGAUAUCUGGGAUCAUGCCUGGCAUCUCCUAACACCAACACAAAAGAAGCCCUAUAUGGGGCAAAAUAA